CCCUACUAUUGAAUUCAUUUGGGAAAAAAAGGGUUUUCUCUCGUCUUAAUUGUUAUAGUAAGUGUUUAUGUUUUUACAAAUUGUAUAUUUGAAUAUGUUUUUAAUUAAUAAGUGCUUUGACAUAUUUUUGUUCAUUUGGCUGUCUCAGUAGCCUAAAGCAUUUGAAUUAGUGAGUUUUAUAUUGUGAUUUUUAGGUAUCCAGUAGUAUUUUUAACUUUGUAUUAUCAUCAUGUAUAAC
This 238-nucleotide long non-coding RNA is filed under the name Bos taurus (domestic cattle). RNAcentral's name for it is "long non-coding RNA NONBTAT000606". Lineage: Eukaryota; Metazoa; Chordata; Mammalia; Artiodactyla; Bovidae. The record is from RNAcentral.